GCCUUUUCCACUCAUUCUAGAAUUGUCUUGUUAAGCAAAGGCGAACUUGAAUAGAAAAUCAGCUUCGACCUCGAUAACAAAUAGAGCUCUGCAGUUCUCAAACAUUUCAGCAUCAUAGCAAGAGUGGCAGGAGAGAAAAGGAGUGUUCAGAGGCAGCCUGAGCUGCCCGUGGUCCCAACACAUCCUUUCUAAGCCAUCCUGGCCAAGGGCACCACCACCACGUGUGCUUUCUGUGGCAGCCUCAGCACAGAGAAGCCACUGGCACUGCUGGGCCCUUCUGAAGAGGAAAAGACAUCCAGAGCAUCUGUUGUUCUGAUAUUCUGCAUAUUAUAUUGCCUUUACCAAGAGAUAGCAACACAGAGUUUUGUGGUAGAACUUUUUGAAAACAUUUCUUGCCUUUUGAAACUGUCUGUGAACUCAGAACUUUUGGGGUGAAUUUGCCUUUUUUCUCUUUAAUCAUUAGUAUAUUGAAAGCUUCUACUGGACUGGAAGGAUUUAACAUGAGGCAAAAAGUUACUUAUCAGAGCGCAAACUGCAAAGAACUGUCUGGUGCAGAGGGUCCUCUUGUGGACCCAGUGUUAUCUAACCCUCGGGAUAUUUGGCUGGAAGAGUUUUCAGAUGACACAUAAUCCGACUCGUUUUGAUAGAUGAGGAUGAAGUUCCUUAUCUUGACAAGGAGAUCAAGAGCAGGAACCAACUCAGCUACCUGCCGACAGAUAAGAGGGAGCUUUCCCUGCUGAUGCUCUGAAGCUUUGACUCCUCAGUCAGAGAUAUUCCCGGGCGGCAGUAACAUAAAGAUUGCUACCUGACCCUAGCUGGGAAGUGCCUACUCGUUCCUGUUUGGCCUCUUCAAAAUAUGUUUGUCUAAUUUUAUUUAUAGGGAAGUCCAAGAGAAGAAGGCAAAACUUUCUACCUAGUGAAUUGCUUCCUCUAGGUGGCUGCAGUAAAAUUGUGGUGUAUGCUUGAUUUUUUUUUUUUGGUCUCAAGAAACCGUCAAACAGGGGCAUUUGGGAAUGACAGACAUCUAAUCAGCAUGUUUGCUGCUGGUUUAGGAUCUGCUGAUUGUUAAUACAAUGGCGCCUCUGCUGUUUCAUAAAGGUCAUGCUGUCACAUAAAUCUUGUCUGCUGAGGAUCAUUCACCUAGAGAAAUUGAAAUAGAGACAUACGUGGCAGCUGUCACUUUGGCCUUCCUCUUAACCUAGCUCUGCAAACACAGGAGAAACGUCCUUCAGGAGGCUAGUUAUGAAUGUGAGGAAUGCCCCAGUGAUCCAGUGGAUGUGAGCUUAGGACUUUACAUUCUGUCUUCUUGUCCAAACCUCUUGAAAGGCCCUGUUUUCGGGGUGAUGCCAUUCAUGUCAUGGAUGAGAGGACUUUAAUGACUGUUGGCAGAGAGCUAUAAUGUUCCGGUUAAGAGAGCAGAGGUGAACAGCUGUGGAAUUUACUCAUAUGAGUAUCAAGGCAAGAUUCUUAAUGGAAAUUUUCAAUUUUGGGGAGUCUAAUGAAGUGUUUUGAGAGAUUUCAUGAUCAAAAUUUGAAAUCAUUCCAUGGACUUUUGAAUAAAAUCUGUUUUCCCUAUUUGU
Molecule: long non-coding RNA, 1580 nt
Organism: Diceros bicornis minor
Lineage: Eukaryota; Metazoa; Chordata; Mammalia; Perissodactyla; Rhinocerotidae
Exons: 4
Source: RefSeq, a predicted model, not a curated record